Molecule: long non-coding RNA, 4813 nt
Organism: Varroa destructor (honeybee mite)
Lineage: Eukaryota; Metazoa; Arthropoda; Arachnida; Mesostigmata; Varroidae
Source: RefSeq, a predicted model, not a curated record
CGUCUGCUAUAAUUGUUCUUAACCUAGCAAGGUUACUGAUAGAGAAAAAAAUCAGCAAGAUCUUUUGUUCCUCUUGUUAGAGCAUCUAACAUGGCAAUGCAUCAGCGUUCGGUCUUUACCCCACCCCCCUUUUUGCACAUCUAUCAGUCGCCACGAAAUGCAAAAACUACGAACGUAAUGGUGCUAGUUGAAUGGUCGUACACUGUGGGCUACUAUGGUCCUAUUAGUUUUGCUGGCCUACUCGUCCUCCUGGAGUGCUGUUACUGACGUUAACCAACUUGAUAGUUACUUGUAAAAAAAAGUUCCAGCCUAGCGGAAGUAAAGGGCUGGAUGAGACGCACAAAACGUACGUCAAUGUCGCGACGGCAUUGCAAUAGCCAACCAGAAUCCUCUAACUAAUGUACCAUGCCAGACCAAAUAUGUUGUUCACGUUCAAACAUCGCUUGCGAAUACUUGAUUGAUUGCCAUAACCCACCAAUUAAUUAGGAAAGCGUCUUUAGUUGUUUAGUUAUAGGAAUCUUUUUUCCUAUACAAAAGAGAAAGAAGUACGAGAAAAGAUUUGUCAAACGUGUGCAUUCUGCGCAAGAUGUGGAAAAAACUUUUAUAGUUGGCACAGAUUUGGAUUUUUAAGAAUAUAUCGAAAUGUAUUUACUUGUUCUUCCCUAUGAGGUCAAAUACGAUGUUUUCUUCAGAAAGCGAUUAGGUAUUUUUAAAGGAUAUCAAUAUUCUAUGUAGAAAUAUCUGAGUCAGAAUAACCGAGUGAUCGAAAUAACGUAACGGAGCGGCAUAAACAAUUCAGAGCUUUAAUUGAACGGCUGAUGGAUGAACCAAAACAAGGAAACCCUAAAGGGGAUCACAUAACGAUAGCUGCGACGCUCUGAAAGGAAUAAUGCAGUAGGACGGUAAAAUGACUGGUAUCGCGUGUGUUUUCAAAACACAGGUUCAAGCCAAACGGAAGGGACCGUGACGAGUGUACUUAUCUACUUUCAUCUUACCACUACAGAUCGAACCUUCUACAGCUGAGCACAUUGUACAUAUAUUAUAAUAUGUACGACAGAUUCAUUACCCUUCAAUCCGUACUGUACUUAUGUACAUGCCUUCGCCAAUAGCAAGAACUACGGAGCAACUGGAUUCUCCAGAACGAAAGCGGCAUUGUAAGCUUUGAACGAGUUGCAUAAUUCGCCGUAGCAGCACCAUCGAGAGCCUUAACGUAAAAUAAACGCGUCCGAAAGUUACUGUAAGGUGUUUGAAAAGAAGUUACCAUUUUAGAGAAACGCAUACUGCUUCGGAUAUUAGUGAAAAGUGCGGAUUGAUAGAAAAAUUGUCUGACACGCUCGUUUUCUGAAACAGAGUCGAGUCGAUCUUGGAAUUACAGAUUCGGAGAUGGCUGCGUGAGCCCAAUGCGCUCCUCUUUACACCAGAUACGAUGCGACAGCAGUCUUCCGCUGAAUCUUAAUUAGUCGGCUAGUAGCUAUUUUGUUUCUUAGAAUUUUUACGGUAUGUUUUAUUUCUGCAUUCACUUGCCUACCAAAUCAGAGAACAUCAUUUUACAUGUCUUGCGAUAUCUUAGGCACAAGGCCAGUAAGUCGGAAAACCCCAAACAUAAACGUGCAGAUAACGUCAGUGUAUCGAACCCGCGAUUCAUCCUCGCCUGAUGCAUCCCAUUGAGAUUUGUGCACCUAUUCUUGCUUAGAAGGCCGAACUAGUACUGACUAUCACUCAGAUCGAAUGCCAGUAACCUGAAGCCUACUUCUGUGUUUGUCUAUACAUUCUUUUGUUCGCAGAAUCGACUGACCGGUUCCUGUCUGCCGGAACACCUCGUGUAUUCGGAUUGAAUCAGACAGUGCAUAAAAUGUUUCUCAUCACAGGCAGAAAAACACAUAGACAAAGCCACGCUUAACCACAAAUCUUCUUACGCGUGGCCCGUGGCCGGAAUGCGCUCGACUUGCCUCUGCUUCUGUGAGAGGGCAAGGAAGUCACUUGUGUUUGGCCCAGUUUGCUGGACCUUAAUUAACUGUUGCGAGAAAUAAGCCACUCAGUGGAGCAAUACUCUUCGUAACAAUUUGUAUCAGUGCUCGUGCGGUCCACAAACUAGUUACCGAUGCUGAUUGCAUAACGGUGCGAACCCAUUGUUCAAGUUCGUUGAAUACACGCGACCUCUCUGCGCAUCGCUUGAUAUGCCGUAUGCAUUACUUACGGAAGCUGAAAAAUUUUGUAAGCAGGAGUGAAAACCCAACACGUUAUGCUAGCAGCCUGUGUGCAGUGUUGCUAGUUGCUCGAAUGGCAGUUCGAUUCAAGCGCACGUGUCUAAGAGAGGGUUGGCUGCGAGUAAAUUUAGAUUGUUUCCCCCGUAUAUUUUAUAGUGGCAGUUCCAGCGAUAUUCAAUGUUAGCCCAUUACACGUUAGAGGUAUAUAUCGUUGGGAUGAUCGAAACGUUGUGUAUGUAUGUUGAUACUUCGUUCUAUGCUCAUAUCAUAAUUUAGUUUAUGUACCCGUAUUUUAAUAACCUAAGCCUAUAGUAAUUUUCUUCUUCAACUUUACGGAACAUUUUUCGCUUUCACUGUGCAUAUCUCUAAUAAGGCGAUGCAUAUCUUCAGCAUUCUUCUGACCGGUUCCACCUCAUUCAUUACCCUGCAGCUAUGGCACCCUCCGUGAAGGCACCCGUCCCAUGCUCUUAUACCUACACGUUCAUAUUAAUUAACAGGCGUGCCUGUCCUUCCUCGCUUUCUCUUUCUCAACCUCGUCGUUGCCAAUGGCUGGCCGUCCUUUAGAACCUGUGAUAUGCGACACCAAAGGGCCAAUAACAUGCUGUGAGUGUGCCAGCCUGCUGGUCCUGAUUCUACCAUCAUCGACUACGGAAGCAGGAGCUAAAGCCGUGAGCGAUUCCUUCCUGCAAAAUAAUCUCACUGAUGACACAACCUCCCGUCCCGACACCCCUUAGCCGAGCCACCUUGUCCUCUUCUGUGUUUGUUGCAGAUUAAGUUCAGGAUAGCGGUAUCGAGCCAAAAUAGUGUCUACGGAGUUUGACUCGAUUCUUUUGCAACAUGUCUGUUGGAGCUUCUUGGAAAAACCCCCGAGACAACUGUACACAAGAAAUACCUACGUGUUGUGGUAUCCUAUGCAAUACAUACGUUUACGCAGACGUUAAAGUUCUUUAAAACAACGGCGUUUCAUUAGAAGGGCUGAUCAUUUUUUGAACGUAUAACCCUUGAAGAUACAUUAUAUACAUAUAUGAUUUAUUCCGUACAGACUCUACAACUACAUUCUUCGACGAGCAGAACGAAAAUUAAUAUAAUUAUAGGACAGCUAUUGAGUUCGUAUUCUGUAGUAGAAUCUGUGUGUGUGUGAUUUUCGCAUUUCUGUAGUUAAUUCUGGUUAGCAGGUCUUUCUGCAGUGUUUUUCUAUAUAAAUCAUCUUAGAACAUCAAGUUAUAUUCGUCAGAUCUAAUGCCCUUCCGGCUACAUCGUGAAUGUGUUUAAACGGCUUUCCGGUAAGCCUGAAGACUGUUAAAUUGUGUUUUUUUCUCGUCUAUAUUCAUAAGGCUUUUUUUAACUAAAGCCGUCUUACCGCUACGUUGCGGUACUGUGUUACAAUAUUUUAAUCCUAAGUCUGUGUUAUGUUUCCCCCAGUUGAGUUACAUUUGGAGAUCACUGUAACUUUGGCUUUCAUUUUCGAUCGCUAAAGCCUAAUCAUCGGCGCUAAAUGUCGUGAAGCGAGUGCAUAGUUUGAGCUUUGACCGUUGUAGCGUAAUCGAUUUUCCCUUAUUAUUUUAGCGUCUCCGAACUGUUUGGUCAGGGUUUUUCUCUGACCGAUCGUUAUCAACACCAUAUAGAAAACGAGCUAGGCACUUGUUGGGGUCAUUUACGGUUUGCGGUUGCUGAGGCGCAUGAAUUUUCCUAACUUUGAAUACCUCAAGGUCAUUUGCAAAAAGAGAGCACAAAAUUAUUUAGCUAACAUUUUUAUCAUUUGUUCAUCACCGGACAUGCUAGUAUUUAGGCAGGGCACUCAUUAUUUUACAAUACUUCUAUUGCGAUGGUCCCAAAUGAACGCCUUCACAUCUCGCUUUUCAGCAACGACCUUAAAUUCCGCAAGACUAGAGAAAGUUUGGUUAUACGACCCUGUAGAGAAUCCCAUCUCCGUGUCAAUUCUCUAUGCGCUGUCUGAAGUAUUCCUUCAGUGAUGAGAUCCGCACGUCCACAUGCUUUUUUUUUGAUACCAAAAAUCUACGCUUGUUGUUGAUUUACGUUGACCUUCGUUUUUAUUUAUUCUACCUAUUUCGCCCCGUCCAUUUUUUUUUUCGUGUCAUUAGUCAUUUGAAAAUUCGGUGCUUCUUUAUGUAAUUAGGUUCUUAAAAGAAAGUUGCACUGAGCCUUUGGCGAUGUUGUACCGCGGAAUGAUAGCGGAUGCAUGCUUUAAUACGGUCAGUGGAGGUGCCAUCCUUGCUUGUCUCCGUAGCGUGCUCGGAACAAAUCAUUCACUGAGUUUCAUUUUAGUCACUAAGACGAUAUAGGAUGCAUAAGCCCGCUUACGAAUUUAUUGUGAGCUGAAAAAGCUAACUUAAAUCUAAUUUGUAAGUAUAACUCUAAUCUACUAUUAUACGCAUAAUGUGUACACUGAUAUCAAGUGGGUAGAUAAAUUAGUUGCGCUUUUUGAGGUCCGGAACUUGCGAUAUGUGCAAUAGAGCAUAAUUCAACGAAAUCAUAUAAAUUAUGUAAAUAAAUAAUACUAUUCUGAUCAUAAAUCAGUACUCUGUCGUAGAUAUAUUAAAUGUGAAGUUUUUUUUUUUCAAUCAAACCCUUUCCUAUAUCUGACA